UACGUAGGGUGCAAGCGUUAAUCGGAAUUACUGGGCGUAAAGCGUGCGUAGGUGGUGAGUUAAGUCUGAUGUGAAAUCCCCGGGCUCAACCUGGGAAUGGCAUUGGAUACUGGCUCGCUAGAGUGCGGUAGAGGGUGGUGGAAUUCCCGGUGUAGCAGUGAAAUGCGUAGAGAUCGGGAGGAACAUCUGUGGCGAAGGGCGGCCCACCUGGACCAACACUGACACUGAGGCACG
This 234-nucleotide ribosomal RNA is filed under the name uncultured bacterium. RNAcentral describes it as "partial 16S ribosomal RNA". It matches the Rfam family "Bacterial small subunit ribosomal RNA", at positions 524 to 755 of the family's 1533-position model. The record is from RNAcentral.